This is a long non-coding RNA of Nycticebus coucang (slow loris), 978 nucleotides long. RefSeq lists it as uncharacterized. NCBI's taxonomy places the organism in Eukaryota, Metazoa, Chordata, Mammalia, Primates, Lorisidae. The transcript is spliced from 3 exons. The record is from RefSeq and is a predicted model, not a curated record.
GCAACUUCAGGUCUUCCAAAAUGUAUGAAUCUUAGUAUCCUCCACUCUCUUCAUGUCAAUUUUCCUCUGCCUCAUCUCCUCAUGGGCCAUUGCUGACCUGGGAGUAAACUUAGGCAAAAAAUCUGAAAUCUGAAUACUUGGGCCACAUCAAGAGAGGGGCCACCUGGCACUGGAACACCUCCCAGAGCAAACCUUACUCUCUUCUAACCCAAUGGUGCAUUCUUCAGCUUCAGAAACCUGAGAGGAAACAGAACAUGAAAGCAAGAAAAAAUUGAGAACAAGUGGAGCCUGCAGAUAAGCCUGAACAGAGGACUCAGUCAGAAAGAAGAUCAAAGGCUGGAGGAAGGCGAUCCUGGAGGACCUCCUAGUCCACUUAAAAGUCUGUAGGGAGUAGUACUGCACUUCCUGCCAGGAAGCCAGGGCUCUCCCACAAUCCCCAACAGGGCAUUCCUCUCUUCAUACAGAGAAUAAACAGUGUCAUACUUACGGGCUACAAUAAUUAAUAAAUAGGGUGCCAAGUUAUUUCUUUAAUUCUUGGCUUACAUUUUGCAUCAUCCAUUAUAAAUGAUUUAUUUUAAUCAUAUUUUAAAGCUAGCCUUCCAGCUUUCGAUCAAAAAAUUGUUUUAUAAACCAAGCAUAACUGAGUGAAAGCAUUCAUUUUUCUCAAUUAACAUCAUCUGCUGGAUAUCAGGAUAUUCAAAUAUGAUAGCAAUAGUAACUGUGUCUCCUAAUUGCCUAGGUAUACAGAGAUGCUAAGAGAGAAAUAAGUGUAUGACGUGUAAACUUUAAACCAUUAGCCAGUUAGCCAGUUAAUAUCUUCUCUACAAGUCUUUCCCUCUUUUAAUAAGAGGCUAAAAAAUCUGGGGGUUUGGGAAACCCAUAUGAAGCUCUGUAAGUGUGUGUUUGCGGGUGGGCAUGGGGAGAGAAAGAGAGAGAAGGUAGAUUAAAGAACAAGGCCUGAAGUGUGAGCCUUUGCAU